CUUUACUGUAGCUUGGAAUUGGGUUCGGGCUCUUCUUGCGCAGCCUAGGUGGGAGGCUAUGAAGAUAGACUUUUGGGUUUAUUGGAGCCAUCAGUGAGAGACCACUCUAGAGGAGCUAGAAUUCUAAUGGCGUUCCUUGAAGCAGGACGCUUGACAGUUUCAGGUGGGCAGUUUGACUGGGGCGGUCACCUCCUAAAAGGUAACGGAGGUGUGCAAAGGUUCCCUCAGGCUGGACGGAAAUCAGCCGUAGAGUGUAAAGGCAAAAGGGAGCUUGACUGCAAGACCUACAAGUCGAGCAGGGGCGAAAGCCGGCCUUAGUGAUCCGACGGUUCCGAGUGGAAGGGCCGUCGCUAAACGGAUAAAAGUUA
Molecule: ribosomal RNA, 368 nt
Filed under: uncultured organism
Description: bacterial LSU rRNA
Rfam family: Bacterial large subunit ribosomal RNA
Source: RNAcentral